UGAGGGAGAGGGACCUAGACUUUUUAAAGGGCACUUCUGACAUCAUUUUGAGUUUUCAAGUAUGUUAAUGAAUUAUCUAUUCACGUUAUUAAAUUAAAUCCAAUCCACUUGCCCCUAGGAGCCAGCCAAGGUGUGCUGACCUCUUGCCAUUGAAUUUCUACCUUGGAGGCUUCCUAGAUGUAUUUGAAUGGAAUCUAUAUUGUUAAGUCUUGGGCCAUUGCUCAGGCAUCUCAUGAAGUCACUGGAAGAUACUAUCACCUAAAAAGACCCAGUCAGGAUGUUAUGAGAAGAAAUGAGCUGGAUCUUCACAACUGUUUUCCUUUCCUACCCACUACUAAGAGAACCUGUGGAGAAAUACCUGUAAUCCAUGUCUUUAAGGAGCUCACUGUUUACAACAGAAAAGAGACAGAGCACAUGUAUACCGACAAAAAUAAUAGUGAGAUAAGCAUACACUAAACCAUCAACAAGAACCAAGUCGUGUGGUAGGACUAUACUGCAUGUAGGAGCAGAGCCGUUGUCUAGGUCUGUGGGAGCCCACCCACAUCCCGUUGCCAGAACUGCUCACCUUGCCUGCCACAGCCCUCGGACUGGCCCACCUGAGUCUGUGCCCAGAGCCCUCUGUCCCACCCACCAGAACAAUGGGAGUGGCUGGGUGUGGGCUGCCGUUGUGCACAUGGGAGCCUGGGACACUUGAUGCAUUAAAUCAUUAACCUUCAGC
RNAcentral lists this long non-coding RNA (718 nucleotides) under Pan paniscus (pygmy chimpanzee). RNAcentral describes it as "lncRNA (ENSPPAG00000044323.1)". Lineage: Eukaryota; Metazoa; Chordata; Mammalia; Primates; Hominidae. The record is from RNAcentral.